This 1958-nucleotide ribosomal RNA is filed under the name human gut metagenome. Its description in RNAcentral is "bacterial LSU rRNA". It matches the Rfam family "Bacterial large subunit ribosomal RNA", at positions 3 to 1991 of the family's 2925-position model. The record is from RNAcentral.
UCAAGCUAAUAAGAGCAUAAGGUGAAUGCCUUGGCAUCAAGAACCGAUGAAGGACGUAAAAAGCUGCGAUAAGCUUCGGGGAGGCGCACAUAGCCAACGAUCCGGAGAUUUCCGAAUGGGGAAACCUAGCUGAGAAAAGCUCAGUUGGCGUACAGUGAAUCAAUAGCUGUGCGUAGGGAACGCUCUGAACUGAAACAUCUAAGUAGGAGCAGGAAGAGAAAGAAACAUCGAUUUCCUAAGUAGUGGCGAACGAACGGGAAACAGGCCAAACCGAGAUACAUGUAUUUCGGGGUUGUGGACUACAUCAUGUGAUGGAGGUAAGGUAGUAGAAUUGUUUUGGGAAAGCAAGCCAAAGAAAGUGAAAGCCUUGUAUACGAAACCUGAAGACCCACAGUAGUAUCCAGAGUACAUCGGGACACGUGAAACCCUGAUGGAAGCCGGAGGGACCACCCUCCAAGCCUAAAUAUUCCUUGAUGACCGAUAGCGAAGAAGUACUGUGAAGGAAAGGUGAAAAGAACCCCGGGAGGGGAGUGAAAGAGAACCUGAAACCUUAUGUUUACAAACAGUCGAAGUUUUUCGGAACGACGGCGUACUUUUUGUAGAACGGUCCGGCGAGUUGCAGUGACAUGCGAGGUUAAGGAGUACAGCUCCGGAGCCGAAGGGAAACCAAGUCUUAACUGGGCGUCUAGUAUGUUAAUGCAGACCCGAAACCGGGUGACCUAUCCAUGGGCAGGUUGAAGUUACCGUAAAAGGUAAUGGAGGACCGAACUCACAUCUGUUGAAAAAGGUGGAGAUGACCUGUGGAUAGCGGAGAAAUUCCAAUCGAACUCGGAGAUAGCUGGUUCUCCUCGAAAUAGCUUUAGGGCUAGCCUUGAGGUAAAGUCUAAUGGAGGUAAAGCACUGAUUGGACGCGGGUCCCCAAAAGGAUACCAACUUCUAUCAAACUCAGAAUGCCAUAUAGAUAUACUCAGGAGUCAGACUAUGUGAGAUAAGUUUCAUAGUCAAAAGGGAAAGAGCCCAGACCGACAGCUAAGGUCCCAAAGUGUGUGUUAAGUGGAAAAGGAUGUUAGGUUUCUAAGACAACUAGGAUGUUGGCUCAGAAGCAGCCACUCAUUUAAAGAGUGCGUAACAGCUCACUAGUCGAGAGGUCUAGCGCCGAAAAUGUCCGGGGCUAAAACACACCACCGAAGCUACGGAAUUACCUAUGGUAAUUGGUAGAGGAGCAUUCUGUAAGGAUGAAGCACAAUUGAAAGAGAGUGUGGACGAAACAGAAGAGAGAAUGCCGGAAUGAGUAGCGAGAUAUAUGUGAGAAUCAUAUAGGUCGAAUGUCUAAGGUUUCCUGGGUAAAGCUGAUCUGCUCAGGGUAAGUCGGGACCUAAGGUGAGGGCGAGAGCCGUAAUCGAUGGACAACAGGUAGAAAUUCCUGUACUACGUAUAAUCAGAACUGUGGGGACGCAGGAGGAUAGGAAAACCGGAGAAUGGAAAUAUCCGGCUAAGUACAAAGGUGUGAGUGAUAGGCAAAUCCGUCACUAUUAGCUGAAGUACGAAUGGGAGCGAAGAAAAGUAGCGAAGUUUCUGAAUCCACACUGUCAAGAAAAGCCGCUAUUGCGUUAUACGUACCCGUACCGCAAACCGACACAGGUAGACGAGGAGAAAAUCCACAGACCGACGGGAGAAGUGUUGUUAAGGAACUCGGCAAAAUGACCCCGUAACUUAGGGAUAAGGGGAGCCAACGCAAGUUGGUCACAGAAAAGAGGCUCAAGCGACUGUUUAGCAAAAACAUAGGUCUAUGCGAAACCGUAAGGUGAUGUAUAUGGGCUGACACCUGCCCGGUGCUGGAAGGUCAAAAGGAGAGGUUAGCGUAAGCGAAGCUUUGAAUUCAAGCCCCAGUAAACGGCGGCCGUAACUAUAACGGUCCUAAGGUAGCGAAAUUCCUUGUCAGGUAAGUUCUGACCCGC